Paramuricea clavata is the source of this 273-nucleotide non-coding RNA. The record is from the annotation of a GenBank genome assembly. Lineage: Eukaryota; Metazoa; Cnidaria; Anthozoa; Malacalcyonacea; Plexauridae.
GCCUGAGUUCCAAGUUGUGCCAUAUCGGUGGAUGUACUCUACAUGUUCCAAAUUCCCAUUCUUCGCUUCGUCACAUUUCUCUUUGUAACCGAACAUAAUAAUAUCACAGUUGCAUGUAGACCCGUUGCCAAUAUUGCAUUCCCCUCUAAAACGUACAGGAAGACAGUUCUUCCCCAUAACUAAGUACAGGAACUUUUUUGGCGUUGCCGAAGUGCUGAUCAGGCAGCUUCCAGAUGGUAUAAACCGUUCCUCGAUAUUUUCACCAGUAAAGAA